UGGGGAAUAUUGCACAAUGGGCGAAAGCCUGAUGCAGCGACGCCGCGUGCGGGAUGAAGGCCUUCGGGUUGUAAACCGCCUUUAAUUGGGAGCAAGCGAGAGUGAGUGUACCUUUUGAAUAAGCACCGGCUAACUACGUGCCAGCAGCCGCGGUAAUACGUAGGGUGCAAGCGUUAUCCGGAAUUAUUGGGCGUAAAGAGCUCGUAGGCGGUUUGUCACGCCUGGUGUGAAAGUCCAUCGCUUAACGGUGGAUCUGCGCCGGGUACGGGCAGGCUAGAGUGCAGUAGGGGAGAUUGGAAUUCCCGGUGUAACGGUGGAAUGUGUAGAUAUCGGGAAGAACACCAAUGGCGAAGGCAGAUCUCUGGGCUGUUACUGACGCUGAGGAGCGAAAGCAUGGGGAGCGAACAGGAUUAGAUACCCUGGUAGUCCAUGCCGUAAAACGGUGGAUGCUGGAUGUGGGACCCUUCCACGGGUUCCGUGUCGGAGCUAACGCGUUAAGCAUCCCGCCU
RNAcentral lists this ribosomal RNA (509 nucleotides) under uncultured bacterium. RNAcentral describes it as "partial 16S ribosomal RNA". It matches the Rfam family "Bacterial small subunit ribosomal RNA", at positions 355 to 874 of the family's 1533-position model. The record is from RNAcentral.